Molecule: ribosomal RNA, 242 nt
Filed under: uncultured bacterium
Lineage: Bacteria
Description: partial 16S ribosomal RNA
Rfam family: Bacterial small subunit ribosomal RNA
Source: RNAcentral
GACGAACGCUGGCGGCGCGCUUAACACAUGCAAGUCGAGCGAGAACCAGUCCCUUCGGGACGUGGGACGAGCGGCGAACGGGUGAGUAACACGUGGGUAAUCUGCCCUCGAUUCUGGGGUAGGCCCGGGGAAACCCGGAUUAAUACCGGAUAGCCUCUCGAGCUUACGAGCUCGUGAGAAAAGGUAGCUUCGGCCUCCGAUCGAGGAUGAGCCCGCGGCGGAUUAGCUUGUUGGUGGGGUAA